ACCGGUUUCCAGGACCCAUAGGGAGUUUACUACGACUUUUACUACACCGUUUUACCAAGAGAUUGUAUAUCUAAGAGCACGCAAGUAAUAAACGUAACACAACACAAAAUAAAACCCGCCAUAAAAAUUAUACUCCAUACUCAAAGAAUCAAUUGAAAACGUACGCACAAAAACCCACUAUUGUAUUUAACAAACAUUUAAUUUUAUAUUUCUGAUGUCACCCCCACAGCAACUUGAGUAAACACAUUAUUUAUCACUGAAUUUUAUUUAUAUAUGCCAGUUUAAUAUAAGUUCAGUGUAACAAUAAGUGUAGCAAGACAGUGAAUAGAAGUUCAGUGGUUUUCAAGAUAAAGUUUUGAUAUUUUUAUUAUUUUUAACGAAUUUUUGUUGAAUAUAGGAACGAUAAAAAUAUUUUCAAAAUCGAUUAAACAUAUUUCUAUCAAAUAAUUAUUUUAUAAUAAGCGGAAUACUGUCAAUUCACAACAUGAAAGAUGAUUUAAUAAGAAACUUGUGUUUGGCUUAAAUAUACAAUCAUUAUAAUCAUUAUUAAUACAUAUAAAUAAAAUGAUGUAAUUAGAGUUGACGCCAAAAAUUGAAAAAACAUACUGACCACUCCUGUACAUCAGCAUUUAGCAUUGGCGCCUAAAGAUCAGACGUGGAUAUUUUGUUGGCAUAAUUCGAUCUAUAUAUAUUAUCUGAAGAAUAUGAUGGUCGCUUGGCUUUCUCAUAUUGGCAAAUCUCAUAACACUAUUAUCGAAUUGAAAUAUUAUUCAAACAAAUUAAAAUAUAUCUGUAUGAAUUGUAGUUCAUAGUAAUAUUAUAGAAAUAUAUUUUAUAAGUAAUAAUGAUUAUCACUGUUAUGUAUUUUUUAUUAUAAUGGAACAUUGUUUGAAAACAUUAUCAUUUUAUAUCUAUACUCAUUACUAGAACUAAAUAUCAGUGUUUAAAUUAUCUAACUUAAUUUUUAUGUUAUCCAGUUAUUUCAAUGUCUGUUCUGAUUACGCUUAUUUUAAGAGAUCUUCAAUUCACUAUUUGUAUUAUACUACAUCGUGGUAAAAUGAAUGACACAUAAAUAUAUAAAAAUAAUUUAAUUUUUAAGCACGAAAACUGUAAAGUCGUAAAUAAUGUUUAUUUAAAGUGAGGGGACAAGAAUAAAUUGUACUAACACUCAAAUCAUAGCAUUUUCGUAAAAAAAUAUUAAUAUUAUUGAAUGUACUGAAUACAAAAUAAUUUAAAAUAAAUUAAAAAUUGUAUACAUGUA
This is a long non-coding RNA of Daktulosphaira vitifoliae (grape phylloxera), 1261 nucleotides long. RefSeq lists it as uncharacterized. Lineage: Eukaryota; Metazoa; Arthropoda; Insecta; Hemiptera; Phylloxeridae. The record is from RefSeq and is a predicted model, not a curated record. The transcript has 2 exons.